Molecule: ribosomal RNA, 868 nt
Filed under: Leptosphaerulina trifolii
Lineage: Eukaryota; Fungi; Ascomycota; Dothideomycetes; Pleosporales; Didymellaceae
Description: LSU rRNA
Rfam family: Eukaryotic large subunit ribosomal RNA
Source: RNAcentral
UUGCCCUAGUAACGGCGAGUGAAGCGGCAACAGCUCAAAUUUGAAAUCUGGCGUCUUUGGCGUCCGAGUUGUAAUUUGCAGAGGGCGCUUUGGCAUUGGCAGCGGUCCAAGUUCCUUGGAACAGGACGUCACAGAGGGUGAGAAUCCCGUACGUGGUCGCUAGCCUUUACCGUGUAAAGCCCCUUCGACGAGUCGAGUUGUUUGGGAAUGCAGCUCUAAAUGGGAGGUAAAUUUCUUCUAAAGCUAAAUACUGGCCAGAGACCGAUAGCGCACAAGUAGAGUGAUCGAAAGAUGAAAAGCACUUUGGAAAGAGAGUUAAAAAGCACGUGAAAUUGUUGAAAGGGAAGCGCUUGCAGCCAGACUUGCCUGUAGUUGCUCAUCCGGGUUUCUACCCGGUGCACUCUUCUAUAGGCAGGCCAGCAUCAGUUUGGGCGGUUGGAUAAAGGUCUCUGUCAUGUACCUCCUUUCGGGGAGAACUUAUAGGGGAGACGACAUGCAACCAGCCCGGACUGAGGUCCGCGCAUCUGCUAGGAUGCUGGCGUAAUGGCUGUAAGCGGCCCGUCUUGAAACACGGACCAAGGAGUCUAACAUCUAUGCGAGUGUUUGGGUGUCAAGCCCGAGCGCGUAAUGAAAGUGAACGGAGGUGGGAACCUUUCGGGGUGCACCAUCGACCGAUCCUGAUGUCUUCGGAUGGAUUUGAGUAAGAGCAUAGCUGUUGGGACCCGAAAGAUGGUGAACUAUGCUUGAAUAGGGUGAAGCCAGAGGAAACUCUGGUGGAGGCUCGCAGCGGUUCUGACGUGCAAAUCGAUCGUCAAAUUUGGGCAUAGGGGCGAAAGACUAAUCGAACUAUCUAGUAGCUGGUCUGCAG